This 317-nucleotide ribosomal RNA is filed under the name uncultured Chloroflexota bacterium. RNAcentral describes it as "bacterial SSU rRNA". It matches the Rfam family "Bacterial small subunit ribosomal RNA", at positions 28 to 351 of the family's 1533-position model. The record is from RNAcentral. Lineage: Bacteria; Bacillati; Chloroflexota.
GAUGAACGCUGGCGGCGUGCCUAAUACAUGCAAGUCGAACGGUCGGCUUCGGCCGAUAGUGGCGAACGGGUGAGUAACGCGUUGGUGACCUGCCCCGAAGAGAGGGAUAACAGGCCGAAAGGCCUGCUAAUACCGCAUGAGCUAACCGAAGAUUAGGAAGCGGUUAGGAAAUGGAGUAAUCCGCUUUGGGAGGGGCCUGCGUCCCAUCAGCUAGUUGGUAAGGUAAAGGCUUACCAAGGCGAUGACGGGUAGGGGGCCUGAGAGGGUGACCCCCCACAAUGGAACUGAAACACGGUCCAUACACCUACGGGUGGCAG